Molecule: ribosomal RNA, 918 nt
Filed under: uncultured archaeon
Lineage: Archaea
Description: bacterial SSU rRNA
Rfam family: Archaeal small subunit ribosomal RNA
Source: RNAcentral
GGAAUUUCAAGAUUUCAAGCAGGCCGCGGGUUAAUACCAAGCGCCCCCGAGUGGGCAGUCGCCGAUUAUUUGGGGCCUAAAAGCGUUAGUAGCCGGCCUUCGUAAAAUUCCUUUGUGAAAAUCGUUCGUGCUUAACAAUGACGGGCGUGCAGGGGGACACUGCGAGGCUCGGGAUCCGGGAGGAGUCUGAGGUAUGCCCAUGGGGACCGGUAAAAUGGGAUAAUCCGUGGUAGACCACCGAUGGCGGAGGCAUCAGACCAGAACGGAUCCGACGGUGAGGGACGAAAGCCAGGGGAGCGAACCGGAUUAGAUACCCGAGUAGUCCUGGCCGUAAACGCUGUGAGCUAGGUGUUGCCCAUCCCACGAGGAUGGGCAGUGUCGAAACGAAGGUGAUAAGCUCACCGCCUGGGAAGUACGGUCGCAAGACUGAAACUUUAAGGAAUUGGCGGGGGCGCACUACAAGGGGUGCGGCGUGCGGUUUAAUCUAAUUCCACGCAGAGAACCUUACUAGAAGCGACGGCAGGAUGAAGGCCAGGCUGAAGACCUUGCCCGACGAGCCGAGAGGUAGUGCAUGGCCGCCGCCAGCUCGUGCUGUAAAGUGUCCAGUUAAGUCUGGUAACGAGCGAGACCUGCGCCCACAGUUGCUAACGGCACAUGUGGACCGAGCACACUGUGGGGACUGCCUUCGUAAGAAGGAGGAAGGUGCAGGCAACGGUAGGUCUGUAUGCUCCGAAUCUUCUAGGCUACACGCGCGCAACAAUGGUAGCGACAAUGGGUCGCGACCCCGAAAGGGGGAGCUAAUCCUCGAAACGCUAUCCCAGUCCGGAUUGAGGCUUGUAACUCAGCCUCAUGACGUCGGAAUCCCUAGUAAUCCGAUUUCAUCAUACUCGGGUGAAUAUGUCCCUGCCCCUUGCACAC